Molecule: ribosomal RNA, 464 nt
Filed under: uncultured bacterium
Lineage: Bacteria
Description: partial 16S ribosomal RNA
Rfam family: Bacterial small subunit ribosomal RNA
Source: RNAcentral
GACGAACGCUGGCGGCGUGCUUAACACAUGCAAGUCGAACGGAAAGGCCCCUUUGGGGGUACUUGAGUGGCGAACGGGUGAGUAACACGUGAGUAACCUGCCCUUGACUUCGGGAUAACUUCAGGAAACUGGGGCUAAUACCGGAUAGGAAUCCUUGCUGCAUGGUGGGGGUUGGAAAGCUUCGGCGGUUUUGGAUGGACUCGCGGCUUAUCUGCUUGUUGGUGGGGUAGUGGCUUACAAAGGAUUUGAUGGGUAGCCGGCCUGAGAGGGGGACCGGCCACAGUGGGAAGGAGUGCGGCCCGAGACUCUAACGGGAGGCAGCGGGGGGGAAUAUGCCAAAAGGGGGGGAGGCCGGUGGCAGCAACGCCGGGGGGGGAAUGCCGGCUUGUGGUUGGAAACCCGUUUCAGCAGGGGACGAAGCGGGAGUGACGGUACCGGGAAAAGAAGCACCGGCUAACUACGUG